UACAGAGGGCGCGAGCGUUGUCCGGAAUCACUGGGCGUAAAGGGCGCGUAGGUGGCCAGCAUAAGGCCGUGGUGAAAGUCCGGAGCCCAACUCCGGAUCUGCCGCGGCGACUGUGCGGCUUGGGCACUGUAGAGGCAGAUGGAAUUCCGGGUGUAGCGGUGGAAUGCGUAGAGAUCCGGAGGAAUACCGGUGGCGAAGGCGGCAUCCUGGACCGACAUUGACGCUGAGGAGCGAAAGCUAGGGGAGCAAACGGG
This 254-nucleotide ribosomal RNA is filed under the name uncultured bacterium. RNAcentral describes it as "partial 16S ribosomal RNA". It matches the Rfam family "Bacterial small subunit ribosomal RNA", at positions 524 to 776 of the family's 1533-position model. The record is from RNAcentral.